Molecule: ribosomal RNA, 247 nt
Filed under: uncultured bacterium
Lineage: Bacteria
Description: partial 16S ribosomal RNA
Rfam family: Bacterial small subunit ribosomal RNA
Source: RNAcentral
UACGAAGGGGGCUAGCGUUGCUCGGAAUCACUGGGCGUAAAGCGCACGUAGGCGGGUUGUUAAGUCAGAGGUGAAAUCCUGGAGCUCAACUCCAGAACUGCCUUUGAUACUGGCGACCUUGAGUUCGAGGAGAGGUUGGUGGAACUGCGAGUGUAGAGGUGAAAUUCGUAGAUAUUCGCAAGAACACCAGUGGCGAAGGCGGCCAACUGGCUCGAUACUGACGCUGAGGUGCGAAAGCGUGGGGAGC